UAAGUUUAAUGUCACACAGGAGACAUGUUCUCCUGUAUUCUUUGAUAAAACACCUUCAAGCUUCUUCAACAUCAGCACAACCCAAAACGUCUCAGCAUCAGCUUCAUGAACUGAUGAGUCAAACUUGCACCGCCAUUGCUGGACCACACAGGGACAUCACAAAGACUGCUGUUCCACGAGCUCUCAUCCCACAGGAUACAGCUCCUGUCAACCACCACCUGACCUUCUGGCUCUAAGAGCUUCACCUUGCUGCUGCCACUCCCUACACCCGCUGUUCUGAACCAUCAGAGACAUCUCUGCCUCCUGCCAGGGUCCAGGAUCAUCUCAGAUGAUGGAAGGUUUCUUCUGCCUUCACGUUACAUCUGAGAGCACUGAACCAACUGAAACAUUUAUCGACACUCAGUGACAUCUGGGUGUGGGACAGACCUGGUCAGGAGAUGUUUAUUUUCUUUUGCAGGACUCUAAGUCUCUUCCUUGAUGCCUGCAUAUCCUCCUCUGAGAUUCCUCUGUGUCACCGUCUGACCUCGUCUGACUCUGGUUGCUGCAGAGAUGCUGUUCAUACUCAUUUCCUACUUCACUUUUGCAGCAUCAUGUCUACCUCAUGAGGCAUAAAGCUGAACGUCCUGUGCUACAGCAGCAAACACUGAAGCCGCAGGUUGUUGCACCAAUAAACAUCCACUCUGGCAUGAUCACACUAACAUCUUAACACGGACACUCAUUCAGCUGACGGUUUCCAUCAGCAGAUCCAGGAAACAGGAAAAAGUCCCAUAUGAUCAAACUGGAACUCAGCACUCAUUUCAAGGCCGUCUCCACUUUACUUUGUCACCUGUCAGUUAAAUGAACCAUUUAUCUAUAAUAUGUAUCUGAUACAUUAUAGUUUUCAUUUGCUUUAGUUUCUCCUCUCUGUUAUUAUUGUUAAAGGAUAAUGUAGAACUACAAUGAUGGAGGUAGCCCUGUGACAGGCUAACCCAGUGUUAACACUGACCAGUAGGCGGGUUUAGGCAAGGCAAGACUCACACAAACAUAUCAUAUGGUCACCUGCAUCAGUGUCAGGUGCUGUCUGAUCCAAACCCAGCAAUCUUGUAAAUAUAGAACAUCCCUACUUUAAUACUUUAUGUACUGAAAUUGUUAAAUUCCAAACAAGUAAAAAUGAGUAAGCAGCUCCACUUUCUA
Nothobranchius furzeri (turquoise killifish) is the source of this 1173-nucleotide long non-coding RNA. RefSeq lists it as uncharacterized. The record is from RefSeq and is a predicted model, not a curated record. NCBI's taxonomy places the organism in Eukaryota, Metazoa, Chordata, Actinopteri, Cyprinodontiformes, Nothobranchiidae.